Ictalurus punctatus (channel catfish) is the source of this 2918-nucleotide long non-coding RNA. Lineage: Eukaryota; Metazoa; Chordata; Actinopteri; Siluriformes; Ictaluridae. The record is from Ensembl.
UUUUUUUUCCAUGUACAGAAUAAUCUCAGGAAUGCAAAAACUUUUGACAGUUUGAUACACAUUUACAUCUAGGGUGUAUUCUCUCCUCACCUCUCCGCGCCCGGUGUUCCUGGAACAGGUUCCGGAUCCAGCACGAGCCUGAUCAGGAUGAACUGCUUACUGAAGAUGAAUGAGGUGCAACACCGCUAUUCGAUUGUGUUCAGUGCCGCUACUUUUUAAUCCGAGUAGUGUGAUGAACUGUUUUGGCAUGGCACGCAUGAUUUUUCGUUUCUUGGUGUCAGCUGGCUAGUUAGAGAUACUCGAGAUAGACGAUCAUCUCCGAGUUAUUUUCAUCCUUUCCUUUUUAUUUUAUUUAUUUAUUUUUUUAUUUAUUCUGCCAUGUUUCAACGUCAGCUUUCCACCUGACCUGCUCAGCACGGGGUUCAGUCUGAUGGGCUGUAUCUGGAGGUCGCUCACAUUUCUGAUGCCGCAUCGAAGGGACGUUCAUAAAUACAGCGACUCGCAGUGAGAAAGUGACGCCGGAGACCGUUCACUUCCAGUGAAAGAUUGCGAAUUCCGCUGACCUGAGCGAAGGCGACCAUUGGUGACCUAGAUGUGGGCGUGUCCAGCGAUGCGAAAAAGUUGCAACGUUUUAUGCAAAUUUGGAGCAACUCGGUGCAGGAGGAACCAUGUUGUCUACGGGUCCGAAUUGUUUCGCGGACCCAGACUGCGGAUAAAUGUCAAAGAGCACACGCUGCUUCUCCGUCAUCUCGUGGGAUACAACGUAUAUACGCACUCGUGAAUUUUAUAUACAAAAUUGACUUGUCAAAAGUGGAAUGCUAGUUGUGCCACCUACUGAUAAAUGUUACUAUGGCAACCAGUAGUAUGAACACCUACAGGUGACUUUAUAGUACAGGGACUGGCAACCCGCAGCCAUAAAAUCGCUAUACGUCUGAGCGUACCUUUACACUCCUGAGAUAAAGUAUGUCCAAUUAAGAAGGCAGUGUCAAGACGGCUGUCCUUUAAGAUUCUUAAAUAAUGGACAAAUCUGAACGCAGCAUCAGAUUCUUCUACAUGAUGAUUGUGUUCACCAAAUGAAACGUUCCACGAACAAUAAAAAAGCGGACGGGAAUGCUGCUCGCAUACAAGAUGGUGGUGAUAUUGAAAACCAUGACCACGGCAGAAGUAAUUAUUGUGAUCUGGAUAUUUCAUAUUUGCACAUCUACUUGACAGUGAUCAAUGAUAAUUCAUUGAUAAUGAAGGUUAGGUUUGAGGGGGUCCGGGUCACUCCUCAUCCAAAUUCUUGAGAAUGAGGUUCUAGUCAUCUUUUUAUUUCUGGUAUCCAGCCCAAAAAGCUCCGAUAUAUACUUCCCAGUGAUAUGUCGGGUUGUGAUUUAAAAAAAAUAUUUAAAAAUAGAAACAGCCAGCCUUAUACAGCAACAUGUGCCAGUAAAAACGAUAGGCACAUACAGAGUGAAUAGGAAUAUUAACGAAUACAGUUUCACUAAAAGAUUUCAGAAAUCAUGGAAAACUUGGCAGGAAUUCAUACUAAAAUCAGUCUUGGACGGACUCCGCGUUUCUGCUCUUUAAGACAGAACGCAGGCGUCUGGAUCUCUUACAUUUCUGGCCUCAUUGCUAGUCUUCAGUUCACUGCUCCCCAUCUUCUUGCAAAACUGCAUCUAAUGGCGCAUCAGGAGUUGAAGAUCCAGGUGAGAAAUCUGAUGGUGCAUCUUCAUAGCCACUGCUCUCGUCAUAAUCUUCGCCAUCCUGAGGGUUUUGGCUGCUUGCCUCCGGCGUAGCCUGCUCAGAACCAACCACACGUGCUUCUUUGACCUCUUCUCCGUCCACCGGAGUUCCUUCGGCGGCAUCGGGUUUGAUAGACCGUGCUAUUUCUGUUCUUGAAAAGCAGAUAUGCUGUAGAAGCAAGAUUGGCGAAAGCGUUUGUAGGGCCUGUCGGUUGUGAAGCCGUGUCUACUGGUUUCGGUGCCUCUUCAGAUACGGGUCCAUCCACUUCGACGGCAGGAUUAUCGGCUUCUUUCUGGUCUUGUGUUAUACUUUCAGCUGAAACUGAAAUUUUCUCCUGGUGACAGAAAAGAAAAGUGAUGAUCGAAAAGAAAAUCCAGCACACAGUAGUUACACAAUGAAGCUUAUACUAACGUUCUAGCCGGACUGCGGCCUUUAAUAUUCUACGGGAUAAUUCAAUAAUUUAGAUAAACUACUGAAGGCUAAGAGUGACGAGCAAACUUGCUCCUUGUAGUGUAAAAUAUUAAAAAUGUUUGUUCAUUAAACAUUCAACAAAAAAGAUUAAAAACACAUACACCUCAGCUUUGUCCUGUGGGUGUGGCUUCAUUGUACCGAGCUUGAGUCAAACAGUACUGAGUGUAUUGAAAGGAUUGUCGGUAUGACUAUCAGACUUAUUUUGAUUUUGAAGCGUUAAGUCUGUAUUAUCCAAAUUAAGUUAUUCACUGAAUGAGACUGGAGCGUAUCCUGUUUCAGUAAGUGCAAUCUUUAGGCUAUACAAGACAGACCACACGCAGCAAUCUUUAGGGCGUCCAUCAGGGCUGCACAAUUAAUCGAAUAUCGAUCUCCAUGAUGAUUCUGACCGCCCACGAUCACAUGAUCACGAUCGACUGCGAUAUUGACGUUUCCAAGUCCUCAUGGAAAACUCCGCUGCAGAUCAAAUCGAGCCCUUCCUAAACUCACAGCCAAUCGCCAUAGAGCGGCACGGGGAUGACGUCACUUUAUAACGCCGAAACACGGAAACGAGUUAUCGCACUGCCAGCUCUGCUUCGUACUCCAGCGCGUGCGCGAGGGGAAACCAUGACGCUAACAAGCUGCUAAACGGGAUUACAGACGUUGUCUAAACGUCAUCACGCCGAACGGGAAAAAGUCUUUGCAGAUAAACUGGUUCAGGUUUACUGUGCACAAUCCCCCCCCCC